GAGGAAUAUUGGUCAAUGGACGAGAGUCUGAACCAGCCAAGUAGCGUGCAGGAUGACGGCCCUAUGGGUUGUAAACUGCUUUUGUAUGGGGAUAAAGUCAAUCACGUGUGAUUGUUUGCAGGUACCAUACGAAUAAGGACCGGCUAAUUCCGUGCCAGCAGCCGCGGUAAUACGGAAGGUCCGGGCGUUAUCCGGAUUUAUUGGGUUUAAAGGGAGCGUAGGCCGGAGAUUAAGUGUGUUGUGAAAUGUAGACGCUCAACGUCUGACUUGCAGCGCAUACUGGUUUCCUUGAGUACGCACAACGUUGGCGGAAUUCGUCGUGUAGCGGUGAAAUGCUUAGAUAUGACGAAGAACUCCGAUUGCGAAGGCAGCUGACGGGAGCGCAACUGACGCUUAAGCUCGAAGGUGCGGGUAUCGAACAGGAUUAGAUACCCUGGUAGUCCGCACAGUAAACGAUGGAUGCUCGCUGUUGGUACUUGGUAUCAGCGGCUAAGCGAAAGCAUUAAGCAUCCCACCUGGGGAGUACGCCGGCAACGGUG
This 539-nucleotide ribosomal RNA is filed under the name uncultured bacterium. RNAcentral describes it as "bacterial SSU rRNA". It matches the Rfam family "Bacterial small subunit ribosomal RNA", at positions 356 to 896 of the family's 1533-position model. The record is from RNAcentral.